CCAACGGCUCUUUUAAGAGCCACCGACGUGCCGACAAGGACAAACU
Molecule: non-coding RNA, 46 nt
Organism: Poecilia formosa (Amazon molly)
Lineage: Eukaryota; Metazoa; Chordata; Actinopteri; Cyprinodontiformes; Poeciliidae
Source: Rfam